Molecule: ribosomal RNA, 372 nt
Filed under: uncultured Methanosarcina sp.
Lineage: Archaea; Methanobacteriati; Methanobacteriota; Methanomicrobia; Methanosarcinales; Methanosarcinaceae
Description: bacterial SSU rRNA
Rfam family: Archaeal small subunit ribosomal RNA
Source: RNAcentral
GCCGGAUUAGCUGAGAGGUGGUGCAUGGCCGUCGUCAGUUCGUACUGUGAAGCAUCCUGUUAAGUCAGGCAACGAGCCGAGACCCAGCCCACAGUUGCCAGCGUACUCUCCCGGAGUGACCGGGUACACUGUGGGGACCGCCGCUGCUAAAGCGGAGGAAGGAAUGGGCAACGGUAGGGUCAGUAUGCCCCGAAUAUCCCGGGCUACACGCGAGCUACAAUGGUUGGUACAAUGGGUAUCUACCCCGAAAGGGGACGGGAAUCUCCUAAAACCAAUCUUAGUUCGGAUUGAGGGCUGCAACUCGCCCUCAUGAAGCUGGAAUCCGUAGUAAUCGCGCUUCAACAGAACGCGGUGAAUACGUCCCUGCUCCUU